Molecule: long non-coding RNA, 374 nt
Organism: Pseudophryne corroboree (corroboree frog)
Lineage: Eukaryota; Metazoa; Chordata; Amphibia; Anura; Myobatrachidae
Exons: 3
Source: RefSeq, a predicted model, not a curated record
UAGGUCCUAACUGUUGUUAUACAAUUAAAUCCUCUAGGUAUCAUAUCCAUAGGAUACCAUAAGGACUCUGUAUAGAUUUCUGCAUUUUUCACCUGUAUUGUGACUUCUGAGGUCCUCCAUGUGUGCAUGAAGUUGCUGAUUCCUCUUUUUUUCAUACGAAUGCUUCCCUUUUGAGCUCUUCGUAAUCUGAGUUACCAGAUUCACGAGACGCACCCCUGAUGAAGUCUAGUUCCUAGACGAAACGCGUUGGGAAUGUAUUUCUUGUUGAUGUUAUCUCCGAAUAUUUAAUGAGGAAGAAUAAGGAUACAAAAGAAAGGUUGCCUUCUUUCCUCCAUUUCCCAUUGAUGGAUUUCUGUAGGAGAAACUACAUCAUA